AAGACAGGAGGGCACUCCUCCAAUGGGAGUCUGGAGCCGUCGGUAGCGGUGGCGGCCUGCGACCCCGCUAGCGCUCCAGCAAGCGGGAGGGACGCGUCCAGUGCGUUCGCGAGAUCCAGCUGCCGGUCCCUGGAAUCUACUCGCGCGAGGCAGCGGCUGCACCGACGGCCCGAGGUUCCCGGUCAGCGGGUUGCGGAGUAUCGUGCGGGUAGCAAGGGGAGGGCGAGUGCUCCUGCGGCCCCCAGACGGCAACCAGGGGCUUCCCUGGUGGCGCAGUGGUUGAGAGUCCGCCUGCCGAUGCAGGGGACACGGGUUCGUGCCUUGGUCCGGGAAGAUCCCACAUGCCGUGGAGCGGCUGGGCCCGUGAGCCAUGGCCGCUGAGCCUGCGCGUCUGGAGCCUGUGCUCCACAACAGCACAACGGGAGAGGCCACAACAGUGAGAGGCCCGCGUACCGCAAAAAAAAAAAAAAAAAAAAAAAGGAAAGGAGAAAGGAUAAAGUACUCAGUAUAUGGCCUUAGGAACACUGGUUAUCCACUUGGUUUUUCCUCUUGGCCCACAAAGCCUAAAAUAGUAUCUGACACUGUUCUCCCCCACCACAGAGAAAUGCACUUCAGAAACAUGUUUCCAAAAAAUGUUGCUAAGGGUUUUAUUUCUAACAAGAGGAAAAUAAUAAAAUAAAAUUAAAAUAGGCUU
Long non-coding RNA from Lagenorhynchus albirostris (white-beaked dolphin), 694 nucleotides. RefSeq lists it as uncharacterized. The transcript has 3 exons. The record is from RefSeq and is a predicted model, not a curated record. Lineage: Eukaryota; Metazoa; Chordata; Mammalia; Artiodactyla; Delphinidae.